GCCAUUUAAUGAAUUUUGGGUCUUCUUCUUCCUCAUAACACCAAACAGAGAGUACGAAAGGGGCUGCGAUUUUAGGGUUUUCAAGGUUGUGAUUUUGGUGGUGAGAUUUUAGAGAGUACUUUGCAUCAAAACUUCUAUAUCUAUCAAUCACACAUUUGAGGUAAUUAAGUUUCUAAAAUUACAAUAAUAAGUUAUAUAUUGCUAGAUAUUUAGUGAUAUUUUAUUUAUUAUUUAUUAAUUUAUUUAUAUUGGUUUGUGGAUUUAAUAGCGAAUUCGAUUACUACUUGAAGUAAUUUUGCUAGCUUUUGGAUUAUUAAUGGCAAGAGGUAAAUAUAUAUUCUCUUACUUCUACUUUUAAUAUUAUUAAACAAAUGUUAGAGGGAGUUUGAAUAUCUUAAAUAUUCAUCCAUAGUGAAGUAGGUUCUGAGAUUAAAAUUGUGUGCUGCGGUGAUAACGGAAGGUUGAGAACUUGUGUGUAUUAGUGAAGUAGGUUCUGAGAAAUUUGACUGUGUGCUGCGGAGCUAUAAGGAAGAAACUUAUUGUAUGUUGUUUGAAUUGUUUGUUUUGCUAUUCACAUGUAGAUGGUUAGGUCACUAUUAUAGGGGAAAUGCUGCCCGAUUUUAUCUAGGAUAAUAAACAAUUAGUUUUAUAUAGACAUUCUAUAAGGAAGAAACUUAUUGUAUGUUGUUUGAAUUGUUUGUUUUGUUAUUCACAUGCAGAUGGUUAGGUCACUAUUAUAGGGGAAAUGCUGUCCGAUUUUAUUUAGGAUAAUAAACGAUUAGUUUUAUAUAGACAUCCAACUUUAUCACGUGCUUAUUUAGUGUCGUUUCUUUUCUUUUUGAUAGACAUAGGAGAAUAUAUGGAUAAACAGUGGAUGUCAGCGAAUA
Humulus lupulus (European hop) is the source of this 887-nucleotide long non-coding RNA. RefSeq lists it as uncharacterized. The transcript is spliced from 2 exons. Lineage: Eukaryota; Viridiplantae; Streptophyta; Magnoliopsida; Rosales; Cannabaceae. The record is from RefSeq and is a predicted model, not a curated record.